ACUUAAAUAGCUUAAAUAGAGCAUAAUAUUGAAGAUAUUAGGGUAAUUAAAAUUUUUAAGUA
RNAcentral lists this transfer RNA (62 nucleotides) under Elateroides dermestoides (large timberworm). RNAcentral describes it as "Hylecoetus dermestoides (large timberworm) tRNA-Phe". Lineage: Eukaryota; Metazoa; Arthropoda; Insecta; Coleoptera; Lymexylidae. The record is from RNAcentral.